GGGUUGUGAGGUUAAGCGACUAAGCGUACACGGUGGAUGCCCUGGCAGUCAGAGGCGAUGAAGGGCGUGCUAAUCUGCGAUAAGCGCCGGUAAGGUGAUAUGAACCGUUAUAACCGGCGAUACCCGAAUGGGGAAACCCAGUGUGACUCGUCACACUAUCAUUAACUGAAUCCAUAGGUUAAUGAGGCGAACCGGGGGAACUGAAACAUCUAAGUACCCCGAGGAAAAGAAAUCAACCGAGAUUCCCCCAGUAGCGGCGAGCGAACGGGGAGGAGCCCAGAGCCUGAAUCAGCAUGUGUGUUAGUGGAAGCGUCUGGAAAGGCGCGCGAUACAGGGUGACAGCCCCGUACACAAAAGCGCAUGUGCUGUGAGCUCGAUGAGUAGGGCGGGACACGUGGUAUCCUGUCUGAAUAUGGGGGGACCAUCCUCCAAGGCUAAAUACUCCUGACUGACCGAUAGUGAACCAGUACCGUGAGGGAAAGGCGAAAAGAACCCCGGCGAGGGGAGUGAAAAAGAACCUGAAACCGUGUACGUACAAGCAGUGGGAGCACAGGUUUACCUGUGUGACUGCGUACCUUUUGUAUAAUGGGUCAGCGACUUAUAUUCUGUAGCAAGGUUAACCGAAUAGGGAGCCGGAGGGAAACCGAGUCUUAAUUGGGCGUUAAGUUGCAGGGUAUAGACCCGAAACCCGGUGAUCUAGCCAUGGGCAGGUUGAAGGUUGGGUAACACUAACUGGAGGACCGAACCGACUAAUGUUGAAAAAUUAGCGGAUGACCUGUGGCUGGGGGUGAAAGGCCAAUCAAACCGGGAGAUAGCUGGUUCUCCCCGAAAGCUAUUUAGGUAGCGCCUCGUGAAUUCAUCUCCGGGGUAGAGCACUGUUUCGGCUAGGGGCCAUCCCGGCUUACCAACCCGAUGCAAACUGCGAAUACCGGAGAAUGUUAUCACGGGAGACACACGGCGGGUGCUAACGUCCGUCGUGAAGAGGGAAACAACCCAGACCGCCAGCUAAGGUCCCAAAGUCAUGGUUAAGUGGGAAACGAUGUGGGAAGGCCCAGACAGCCAGGAUGUUGGCUUAGAAGCAGCCAUCAUUUAAAGAAAGCGUAAUAGCUCACUGGUCGAGUCGGCCUGCGCGGAAGAUGUAACGGGGCUAAACCAUGCACCGAAGCUGCGGCAGCGACACUGUGUGUUGUUGGGUAGGGGAGCGUUCUGUAAGCCUGCGAAGGUGGCCUGUGAGGGUUGCUGGAGGUAUCAGAAGUGCGAAUGCUGACAUAAGUAACGAUAAAGCGGGUGAAAAGCCCGCUCGCCGGAAGACCAAGGGUUCCUGUCCAACGUUAAUCGGGGCAGGGUGAGUCGACCCCUAAGGCGAGGCCGAAAGGCGUAGUCGAUGGGAAACGGGUUAAUAUUCCCGUACUUGGUGUUACUGCGAAGGGGGGACGGAGAAGGCUAUGUUGGCCGGGCGACGGUUGUCCCGGUUUAAGCGUGUAGGUGUGUGUUCCAGGUAAAUCCGGUUCACUUUAACACUGAGGCGUGACGACGAGGCACUACGGUGCUGAAGCAACAAAUGCCCUGCUUCCAGGAAAAGCCUCUAAGCAUCAGGUAACAUCAAAUCGUACCCCAAACCGACACAGGUGGUCAGGUAGAGAAUACCAAGGCGCUUGAGAGAACUCGGGUGAAGGAACUAGGCAAAAUGGUGCCGUAACUUCGGGAGAAGGCACGCUGACACGUAGGUGAAGUGAUUUACUCAUGGAGCUGAAGUCAGUCGAAGAUACCAGCUGGCUGCAACUGUUUAUUAAAAACACAGCACUGUGCAAACACGAAAGUGGACGUAUACGGUGUGACGCCUGCCCGGUGCCGGAAGGUUAAUUGAUGGGGUCAGCGCAAGCGAAGCUCCUGAUCGAAGCCCCGGUAAACGGCGGCCGUAACUAUAACGGUCCUAAGGUAGCGAAAUUCCUUGUCGGGUAAGUUCCGACCUGCACGAAUGGCGUAAUGAUGGCCAGGCUGUCUCCACCCGAGACUCAGUGAAAUUGAACUCGCUGUGAAGAUGCAGUGUACCCGCGGCAAGACGGAAAGACCCCGUGAACCUUUACUAUAGCUUGACACUGAACAUUGAGCCUUGAUGUGUAGGAUAGGUGGGAGGCUUUGAAGUGUGGACGCCAGUCUGCAUGGAGCCGACCUUGAAAUACCACCCUUUAAUGUUUGAUGUUCUAACGUGGACCCGUUACCCGGGUUGCGGACAGUGUCUGGUGGGUAGUUUGACUGGGGCGGUCUCCUCCUAAAGAGUAACGGAGGAGCACGAAGGUUGGCUAAUCCUGGUCGGACAUCAGGAGGUUAGUGCAAUGGCAUAAGCCAGCUUGACUGCGAGCGUGACGGCGCGAGCAGGUGCGAAAGCAGGUCAUAGUGAUCCGGUGGUUCUGAAUGGAAGGGCCAUCGCUCAACGGAUAAAAGGUACUCCGGGGAUAACAGGCUGAUACCGCCCAAGAGUUCAUAUCGACGGCGGUGUUUGGCACCUCGAUGUCGGCUCAUCACAUCCUGGGGCUGAAGUAGGUCCCAAGGGUAUGGCUGUUCGCCAUUUAAAGUGGUACGCGAGCUGGGUUUAGAACGUCGUGAGACAGUUCGGUCCCCUAUCUGCCGUGGGCGCUGGAGAACUGAGGGGGGCUGCUCCUAGUACGAGAGGACCGGAGUGGACGCAUCACUGGUGUUCGGGUUGUCAUGCCAAUGGCACUGCCCGGUAGCUAAAUGCGGAAGAGAUAAGUGCUGAAAGCAUCUAAGCACGAAACUUGCCCCGAGAUGAGUUCUCCCUGAGACUUAAAGUCUCCUGAAGGAACGUUGAAGACGACGACGUUGAUAGGCCGGGUGUGUAAGCGCAGCGAUGCGUUGAGCUAACCGGUACUAAUGAACCGUGAGGCUUAACCUUACAACGCCGAAG
RNAcentral lists this ribosomal RNA (2926 nucleotides) under Salmonella enterica. RNAcentral's name for it is "23S ribosomal RNA". It matches the Rfam family "Bacterial large subunit ribosomal RNA". Lineage: Bacteria; Pseudomonadati; Pseudomonadota; Gammaproteobacteria; Enterobacterales; Enterobacteriaceae. The record is from RNAcentral.